RNAcentral lists this ribosomal RNA (443 nucleotides) under uncultured Saccharofermentans sp. RNAcentral describes it as "bacterial SSU rRNA". It matches the Rfam family "Bacterial small subunit ribosomal RNA", at positions 338 to 795 of the family's 1533-position model. The record is from RNAcentral. Lineage: Bacteria; Bacillati; Bacillota; Clostridia; Eubacteriales; Oscillospiraceae.
CCUACGGGAGGCUGCAGUGGGGAAUAUUGGGCAAUGGGGGAAACCCUGACCCAGCAACGCCGCGUGAAGGACGAAGGCCUUCGGGUUGUAAACUUCUUUGAUCAGGGACGAAAAAAAUGACGGUACCUGAAGAACAAGCCACGGCUAACUACGUGCCAGCAGCCGCGGUAAUACGUAGGUGGCGAGCGUUAUCCGGAUUUACUGGGUGUAAAGGGCGUGUAGGCGGGUUUGCAAGUCGGGUGUGAAAGAUUCGGGCUUAACCCGGAGAGGUCAUCCGAAACUGCAGAUCUUGAGUGCUGGAGAGGAUAGUGGAAUUCCUGGUGUAGCGGUAAAAUGCGUAGAGAUCAGGAGGAACACCAGUGGCGAAGGCGGCUAUCUGGACAGUAACUGACGCUGAGGCGCGAAAGCGUGGGGAGCAAACAGGAUUAGAUACCCCAGUAGUC